Molecule: ribosomal RNA, 831 nt
Filed under: uncultured bacterium
Lineage: Bacteria
Description: bacterial SSU rRNA
Rfam family: Bacterial small subunit ribosomal RNA
Source: RNAcentral
CUACAGGCUUAACACAUGCAAGUCGAGGGGAAACGACAUCGAAAGCUUGCUUUUGAUGGGCGUCGACCGGCGCACGGGUGAGUAACGCGUAUCCAACCUGCCCACCACUUGGGGAUAACCUUGCGAAAGUAAGACUAAUACCCAAUGACGUCUCUAGAAGACAUCUGAAAGAGAUUAAAGAUUUAUCGGUGAUGGAUGGGGAUGCGUCUGAUUAGCUUGUUGGCGGGGUAACGGCCCACCAAGGCAACGAUCAGUAGGGGUUCUGAGAGGAAGGUCCCCCACAUUGGAACUGAGACACGGUCCAAACUCCUACGGGAGGCAGCAGUGAGGAAUAUUGGUCAAUGGACGAGAGUCUGAACCAGCCAAGUAGCGUGCAGGAAGACGGCCCUAUGGGUUGUAAACUGCUUUUAUAAGGGAAUAAAGUGAGUCUCGUGAGACUUUUUGCAUGUACCUUAUGAAUAAGGACCGGCUAAUUCCGUGCCAGCAGCCGCGGUAAUACGGAAGGUCCGGGCGUUAUCCGGAUUUAUUGGGUUUAAAGGGAGCGUAGGCCGGAGAUUAAGCGUGUUGUGAAAUGUAGAUGCUCAACAUCUGAACUGCAGCGCGAACUGGUUUCCUUGAGUACGCACAAAGUGGGCGGAAUUCGUGGUGUAGCGGUGAAAUGCUUAGAUAUCACGAAGAACUCCGAUUGCGAAGGCAGCUCACUGGAGCGCAACUGACGCUGAAGCUCGAAAGUGCGGGUAUCAAACAGGAUUAGAUACCCUGGUAGUCCGCACGGUAAACGAUAAUGCCCGCUGUUGGUCUGAAUAGGUCAGCGGCCAAGCGAAAGCAUAA